AGUAGAGUGUAUUUUGACAUAUUAUACAAAGAGGGAGUAUGACUUAUUCUAAUUAGGAAUCCAUUCUUGUGAUUAGACAUGAUGUGGAGUUUCACAGGUCACAGGAAAGAACUCUCAAUCAGGCAUCCAUGGAAAUGCCUGACAAUCAGCGGGAUCUCCUGAUUAACAUCUGUCAGUCAGCAGCCCCCUGGCCAAUCCUGGGGUUCAGCCAGCUCCCCCGACCAACUCCAGCAAGACAAGGGACUCUAAAACACCUUUUCCUGUCCCAAGCCCUUUCCUUCCUGCCUAAACCCCAUAAAAUUCCAGUCCAUUAGAGCUCCUAUGCGGUUUCUCCUCAGACCCUUCUCCUGUCUACACUGUUGGUCUGUGGAGUUCCUCCUGGGAGUGGUAUCUCAAAUAAAGGCUCCUUCGGUGGUCCUUUUAAAUCUUCCUUCUUUGCUCCCUGAGGGCCUUGCCUGAUCUCACAAUACCCUACCUCACCUUGAGCCCUGAGGAUGGAGCCUGCUGUCUAUGCGUUGAGACCUCUGAAACUGUGAACCCCCAAAUAAACUUUUCUCUUCUACAAUUGUUC
Molecule: long non-coding RNA, 571 nt
Filed under: Marmota monax (woodchuck)
Lineage: Eukaryota; Metazoa; Chordata; Mammalia; Rodentia; Sciuridae
Source: RNAcentral